AAACCAACCGGGAUUGCCUUAGUAACGGCGAGUGAAGCGGCAAAAGCUCAAAUUUGAAAUCUGGUACCUUCGGUGCCCGAGUUGUAAUUUGGAGAGGGCAACUCUGGGGCCGUUCCUUGUCUAUGUUCCUUGGAACAGGACGUCAUAGAGGGUGAGAAUCCCGUGUGGCGAGGAGUGCGGUUCUUUGUAAAGUGCCUUCGAAGAGUCGAGUUGUUUGGGAAUGCAGCUCUAAGUGGGUGGUAAAUUCCAUCUAAAGCUAAAUAUUGGCGAGAGACCGAUAGCGAACAAGUACAGUGAUGGAAAGAUGAAAAGAACUUUGAAAAGAGAGUGAAAAAGUACGUGAAAUUGUUGAAAGGGAAGGGCAUUUGAUCAGACAUGGUGUUUUGUGCCCUCUGCUCCUUGUGGGUAGGGGAAUCUCGCAUUUCACUGGGCCAGCAUCAGUUUUGGUGGCAGGAUAAAUCCAUAGGAAUGUAGCUUGCCUCGGUAAGUAUUAUAGCCUGUGGGAAUACUGCCAGCUGGGACUGAGGACUGCGACGUAAGUCAAGGAUGCUGGCAUAAUGGUUAUAUGCCGC
RNAcentral lists this ribosomal RNA (572 nucleotides) under Saccharomyces cerevisiae (brewer's yeast). Its description in RNAcentral is "partial large subunit ribosomal RNA". It matches the Rfam family "Eukaryotic large subunit ribosomal RNA", at positions 62 to 648 of the family's 3401-position model. Lineage: Eukaryota; Fungi; Ascomycota; Saccharomycetes; Saccharomycetales; Saccharomycetaceae. The record is from RNAcentral.